This 253-nucleotide ribosomal RNA is filed under the name uncultured bacterium. RNAcentral describes it as "partial 16S ribosomal RNA". It matches the Rfam family "Bacterial small subunit ribosomal RNA", at positions 524 to 776 of the family's 1533-position model. The record is from RNAcentral.
UACGAAGGGGACUAGCGUUGUUCGGAAUCACUGGGCGUAAAGCGCACGUAGGCGGUUUUGUAAGUCAGGGGUGAAAUCCCGGGGCUCAACCUCGGAACUGCCUUUGAUACUGCGGAUCUUGAGUCCGAUAGAGGUGGGUGGAAUUCCUAGUGUAGAGGUGAAAUUCGUAGAUAUUAGGAAGAACACCGGUGGCGAAGGCGGCCCACUGGAUCGGUACUGACGUUGAGGUGCGAAAGCGUGGGGAGCAAACAGG